Molecule: long non-coding RNA, 885 nt
Organism: Chelonia mydas (Green sea turtle)
Lineage: Eukaryota; Metazoa; Chordata; Testudines; Cheloniidae
Exons: 4
Source: RefSeq, a predicted model, not a curated record
UUUCUGUGUGGUAGGCUGGGUUUUUGCUUAAAAUGCCCUAGGCAUUGUUUGACCUGCCAUUUUCCAGUGUUUAAUGACAAAACUGAUUGGUUUCAGUAGAGUCCUUGUUUCUGGUUAGUGAUUCUUAGAACUUACAUCAGGGCAGGUAUAGGACCUAAGCUUUAGACCUUGUGUGGGGACAGUGAAUGUGGAGACUGCACUGGCUGUGAGGUUCCCUCCUAUCUGCUAAAAUCACUGAGAGCUGGGUUAAGUGGUGCAACCUUAGAAGAUGACAUGGGAGCAGCAAGCAGUGGUGGCAGAGAGACAGUGGCCAAGAGCAGCAGAAGCACUGCUUAAUACUCCUCCCUGAGAUGAGAGGUAAACCCUGUGAAUGCACCUCUGCACUCUGGGUCUUCACUAACCAAGAACAUCCAACUCUGUUCCAGGAAAAAGCAGACAGCCAUGGGAAUCAGCAAGGACAAGACAGCAGAGGAGUGCAGCUGUUGAUCUCCUUUAAAGCUGUAUCUAAACUGGCCAAACAAGACACAUCAUUCACCUCUUAUGGCUCAUUGAUGCUGCUCCACUGAUGACAACAGCAUUGGAAACUGUUGUGAAGACAGUGCUCAGGAUCUGGACACGCAUCCAUACCACCUCUGUUUGUGGCAGCAAUACACAGACCCUCCCAAGAGCAUCCUGUAUACUGUGUGCAUCCUUCUUUGCUAUACAGAGUUUUGGUUGUGUGAGGAGCAGUAUGGUAAGCCCUUGGAGUCAGCAAAUGUUAUGCAGUAUCUAGAUACAGUAGUCUAAAUAAUUAUUUUUAUAUAUUUGGAAUCUGUCUGAACUUUUCAACUUUUAAAUUUAAAAAACCCUAAGUACUUGGCACUUUAACAAGUACACAGAACUUAC